This 551-nucleotide long non-coding RNA is filed under the name Neogobius melanostomus (round goby). RNAcentral's name for it is "lncRNA (ENSNMLG00000003751.1)". Lineage: Eukaryota; Metazoa; Chordata; Actinopteri; Gobiiformes; Gobiidae. The record is from RNAcentral.
CUCACCCCUCUGCCCUUCGUCUGGUCUCAGUGCGUGCAGUUUGGAAAAAGCUUCUGGUUUCCAUUGAAAGGAUUUCCAAUGUUUUGGCCUUUUUGGGACUUCUAUUUUAUUUUCACUCCACACCUCCCUAACACCGUGUGCAGUGGGUGGAGGUGGGCGAGAGGAUGACGCAAACUCAACUCCGUGACACGAACCAGAUGACUGAUGUUUUCACUUAUUCCGACAAGAAAAUGCACCAUUACCAACACGGCGCUGGCAUCUCCCAAGAUGUUUGGACAAAUCAGCAGUCCCAAAGCUUUUAAAGCAGUGGACCCAUGAUUUCGGUGCUUAGGAGAAACAAAAGUAGAGGAAACUCCCCCAGACAUUGGCAGAACAACAAACGUCUGCACCAAAGAGUCCGAAACGACCAGAAAAUGGAACCUUCUUCUUUGAGGUCAGACAGAGAAAUGCUUUGCCUGUUGUCUGUCCCUUCUCCUUUGACCAGCUCAGUUUUAAACUUCAGAGUAAUUCGUUUAAUCAAUCUCGACAGUUGUACUUAAUAAAAUGGCCGG